Molecule: non-coding RNA, 72 nt
Filed under: Actinosynnema mirum
Lineage: Bacteria; Bacillati; Actinomycetota; Actinomycetes; Pseudonocardiales; Pseudonocardiaceae
Source: RNAcentral
GGGAAGACCGGUCGAAUUCCGGCGCUGACCCGCAACGGUAGGCCGUCCCGCGAGACGGCGAGCCCGAAUGCC